UACGUAGGGUGCAAGCGUUUGUCCGGAAUUAUUGGGCGUAAAGAGCUCGUAGGCGGUCUGUCGCGUCUGCUGUGAAAACCUAGGGCUUAACUCUGGGCGUGCAGUGGGUACGGGCAGGCUAGAGUGCGGUAGGGGAGACUGGAAUUCCUGGUGUAGCGGUGAAAUGCGCAGAUAUCAGGAGGAACACCGGUGGCGAAGGCGGGUCUCUGGGCCGAAACUGACGCUGAGGAGCGAAAGCGUGGGGAGCAAACAGG
This 254-nucleotide ribosomal RNA is filed under the name uncultured bacterium. Its description in RNAcentral is "partial 16S ribosomal RNA". It matches the Rfam family "Bacterial small subunit ribosomal RNA", at positions 524 to 776 of the family's 1533-position model. The record is from RNAcentral.